CCCCCCCCCCCAUGAAGACCUUCAAGUAGUUCAGCCUACUGCUGAAUCUGGACGUCCCGAUUCCCCCCUCCUAUUGGCUUCUUGUGGUUCAGCCCAGUGCUUCUCGACCUAGUACAUUCUGGUUCCCCGCUCGCAGACUUCCGACGUGGAUGGUGUCCCCCAUGGUCGCUGAGACUCCCCUUCGAGGAUUGCACCCGCCCGUCCUAAGCCUCCCCACAAGGCGAGGGGAGUUACCCCUAAAACAAAGCUAUUAAAGGGACAGAAUACUUCCUGUU
RNAcentral lists this long non-coding RNA (275 nucleotides) under Homo sapiens (human). RNAcentral describes it as "non-protein coding lnc-DBP-1:2". Lineage: Eukaryota; Metazoa; Chordata; Mammalia; Primates; Hominidae. The record is from RNAcentral.